UUUAUGGAGAGUUUGAUCCUGGCUCAGGAUGAACGCUGGCGGCGUGCCUAAUACAUGCAAGUCGAGCGAACGGACGAGAAGCUUGCUUCUCUGAUGUUAGCGGCGGACGGGUGAGUAACACGUGGAUAACCUACCUAUAAGACUGGGAUAACUUCGGGAAACCGGAGCUAAUACCGGAUAAUAUUUUGAACCGCAUGGUUCAAAAGUGAAAGACGGUCUUGCUGUCACUUAUAGAUGGAUCCGCGCUGCAUUAGCUAGUUGGUAAGGUAACGGCUUACCAAGGCAACGAUGCAUAGCCGACCUGAGAGGGUGAUCGGCCACACUGGAACUGAGACACGGUCCAGACUCCUACGGGAGGCAGCAGUAGGGAAUCUUCCGCAAUGGGCGAAAGCCUGACGGAGCAACGCCGCGUGAGUGAUGAAGGUCUUCGGAUCGUAAAACUCUGUUAUUAGGGAAGAACAUAUGUGUAAGUAACUGUGCACAUCUUGACGGUACCUAAUCAGAAAGCCACGGCUAACUACGUGCCAGCAGCCGCGGUAAUACGUAGGUGGCAAGCGUUAUCCGGAAUUAUUGGGCGUAAAGCGCGCGUAGGCGGUUUUUUAAGUCUGAUGUGAAAGCCCACGGCUCAACCGUGGAGGGUCAUUGGAAACUGGAAAACUUGAGUGCAGAAGAGGAAAGUGGAAUUCCAUGUGUAGCGGUGAAAUGCGCAGAGAUAUGGAGGAACACCAGUGGCGAAGGCGACUUUCUGGUCUGUAACUGACGCUGAUGUGCGAAAGCGUGGGGAUCAAACAGGAUUAGAUACCCUGGUAGUCCACGCCGUAAACGAUGAGUGCUAAGUGUUAGGGGGUUUCCGCCCCUUAGUGCUGCAGCUAACGCAUUAAGCACUCCGCCUGGGGAGUACGACCGCAAGGUUGAAACUCAAAGGAAUUGACGGGGACCCGCACAAGCGGUGGAGCAUGUGGUUUAAUUCGAAGCAACGCGAAGAACCUUACCAAAUCUUGACAUCCUUUGACAACUCUAGAGAUAGAGCCUUCCCCUUCGGGGGACAAAGUGACAGGUGGUGCAUGGUUGUCGUCAGCUCGUGUCGUGAGAUGUUGGGUUAAGUCCCGCAACGAGCGCAACCCUUAAGCUUAGUUGCCAUCAUUAAGUUGGGCACUCUAAGUUGACUGCCGGUGACAAACCGGAGGAAGGUGGGGAUGACGUCAAAUCAUCAUGCCCCUUAUGAUUUGGGCUACACACGUGCUACAAUGGACAAUACAAAGGGCA
This 1266-nucleotide ribosomal RNA is filed under the name Staphylococcus aureus. RNAcentral describes it as "bacterial SSU rRNA". It matches the Rfam family "Bacterial small subunit ribosomal RNA", at positions 1 to 1248 of the family's 1533-position model. Lineage: Bacteria; Bacillati; Bacillota; Bacilli; Caryophanales; Staphylococcaceae. The record is from RNAcentral.